CGUGUUUGACAGGCGGCGCGCUGAGUGGCUGCGUGGACGCCAGCCAAACGCUCGCGAUUCACCAAUGACUAACUGUUCAAAGCGGCACUCUCAGAGCUAAUCACCUGCAUGCUCAUUGUAAACAAAUACUGUAAAUUGAGAGUGGAUGCGUCGCACAACCACACUCAGCUCCCCGCACCUGAAUCCGCGUUGUCGAGUUUGUGCAGCCAUUAUGCGCAGCCCUCUCUAUCAAGCCCAAUUGUCAGAGCCCGGCGCCUUUAAUUGCCUUACAGCAAAUUUGACAUUGUCCACGCUGACUGCACUCUGAUGAGAGGAAGAAAAGCGGAGCGGCGCUGGAUCCACCACUUCCUCCAAUCAGCAAAAGACGAGAGGCACCCCGAAGCCACGCUCCGUUUGAUCGCCCGCGCAAGGCAACAAGCCACGCAACGCAAACGGGGACGUUAAUCUCACGCGAAGACGGGCCUUUGAGCGCGUGCCAGCCUGAUCAUCCUUCAGACGAUGAAUCCAUGAUGCCAACCACUUUUUGGAGUUCAAGACAAAAGUAAACCUCCUGCCGAUUCUGUUUCACAACAACAUCACCAGCAACAAAGAAGAGGAUGGACUCCUCCAGCUCUAGACUUUGUAUCUCCGGCCCACAACACAGAUGCUAUCACAGCCUCUGGCGCCGCAGCCAGCCAGUUAUUCGUAUCCGCCGAGUUUCUGGCACGAGGCGUACGAUUGGUUUCGAGUCCUAUUGUCUCCGUGAAAUAGUAAUGAUAAUAAAAAAAAAUUUUUGGUGUUGACAGAGAAA
Poecilia reticulata (guppy) is the source of this 790-nucleotide long non-coding RNA. RefSeq lists it as uncharacterized. The record is from RefSeq and is a predicted model, not a curated record. NCBI's taxonomy places the organism in Eukaryota, Metazoa, Chordata, Actinopteri, Cyprinodontiformes, Poeciliidae.